This 253-nucleotide ribosomal RNA is filed under the name uncultured bacterium. RNAcentral's name for it is "partial 16S ribosomal RNA". It matches the Rfam family "Bacterial small subunit ribosomal RNA", at positions 524 to 776 of the family's 1533-position model. The record is from RNAcentral.
UACGUAGGGUGCAAGCGUUGUCCGGAAUUAUUGGGCGUAAAGAGCUCGUAGGCGGUUUGUCGCGUCUGCUGUGAAAACUCGGGGCUCAACCUCAGGCCUGCAGUCGAUACGGGCGGACUCGAGUUCGGCAGGGGAGACUGGAAUUCCUGGUGUAGCGGUGAAAUGCGCAGAUAUCAGGAGGAACACCGGUGGCGAAGGCGGGUCUCUGGGCCGAUACUGACGCUGAGGAGCGAAAGCGUGGGGAGCGAACAGG